RNAcentral lists this long non-coding RNA (1177 nucleotides) under Coccomyxa subellipsoidea. Its description in RNAcentral is "long non-coding RNA (CSUB_LNC000288)". The record is from RNAcentral. Lineage: Eukaryota; Viridiplantae; Chlorophyta; Trebouxiophyceae; Coccomyxaceae.
AAGGACGUCUGCUCAUCAAAUGCCGCCAACCCGGAUUCUGCACCCAUCACAUUUAAAACAUUACGCGCACGGCGUCACACGGUUCUAGGUACGCCUCAGGUGAUAGGAGACUGAUCAACAAUUUUUUCUUCCUAUGUGGUGGACCCUUCAAAGCUGAGAUUCACACCUGGUGCAGCGGCAGGAGCACCCUGGUCCUCAAAUGCAGCCCACUCUGCAGCGCGCACACAGGUACACUCAGCUCCAGCAUGCACACCACGCCGAGCAUCUCCGCAGGCAUUUCAAGCAAAGCAGCGACUGCAGAAGCAUCGAGUGCAGGAGCUAGUGCAGCACCUGAUCCGCCGGAGGCUCUGGCAAAUGCGGAGGGCUCUGGGAAUGCCUGCCAGGGCGCCUGCUUCCUCCCUUGCGUGAAUGGCUCAAACUGCUCCCCUGAUUGCUCGCUAUCUGCCGUUCGCAUAAGUGCAUCGAAUUCGUACUCCUGCACACCGGGACACAACAUUGUUAACCCAUGCACCUAAGGCUCAAUACGUUCAUAAUUACCCCCACACCAAGCCAGGCCUGCUUCUUUCAUUGCAAACAUGUCAUCUGUCCCAACAGUACAUUUAGGCCACAACACUCCCCUUGCCGUGCUGCAAGAAUGCUUGUAAGGCAACUUGCCUUCCCGGCCGUUGAGGUACCAGAUUGUGUCAUGCCAAUUUCGCACAAAGAGCACAUUUGUGGCAGAUCAGCCGGCUUUUAUUCCAGAAGGACCCAUUAUUGGCUCACCAUCUGUGCAGAGGGGUCCUCCACAACCACCGCAUCAUCGUCCAUAUCCAUUAUUACCAUGUUGUCAUCGUGAUCAUGCCCCUGCCCAAGCAAAUGCAUCACGGUGAUUGAUUGACAAACCAUCGCUCAGUGCAGCACAUGAACUUAGUCAAUCCUGAGCCCCCCAGAGAGCAAAUCUGCUCAAGGACUUGAUUGCAUUCCCUCCCUGCAUGCUUUGAACACAUGGAAAAGUGGAAAAGUGUUCAAAGAACAGGAUGAAAGUGCUUGGCUCACCUUGAGGAUGAGGUCCUGGGGGAUGUGCAGGGAGGUCACAUUGUCAUCGUCAUCAGAGGACGAGGAUGAGUCGUCGCCGUCCCCGUCCCCUAAGAGCCGCAGCGUCCGGAAGUUGCCCACGCCCUCCUUGUGCAAGUAGUCA